AUUGAACGCUGGCGGCAUGCUUUACACAUGCAAGUCGAACGAGUGGCGAACGGGUGAGUCACAUAUCGGAACGUACCGAGUAAUGGGGGAUAACUAAUCGAAAGAUUAGCUAAUACCGCAUCUUAUUAGGGCGGCCGAUAUCAGUUUAUCUGGUUGGUGGGGUAAAGGCCUACCAAGGCGACGAUCAGUAGCGGGUCUGAGAGGAUGAUCGGCCAUCCCGGGACUUAGACACGGCCAAGACUCCUACGUGAGGCAGCAGUGGGGAAUUUUGGAAAAUGGGCGCAAGUCUGAUCCAGCCAUGCCGCGUGUCUUAAGAAGGCCUUCGGAUUGUAAAGGACUUUUGUCAGGGAAGCGGUACCUGAAGAAUAAGCACCGGCUAACUACGUGCCAGCAGCCGCGGUAAUAC
RNAcentral lists this ribosomal RNA (406 nucleotides) under uncultured bacterium. Its description in RNAcentral is "partial 16S ribosomal RNA". It matches the Rfam family "Bacterial small subunit ribosomal RNA", at positions 30 to 526 of the family's 1533-position model. The record is from RNAcentral.